RNAcentral lists this ribosomal RNA (406 nucleotides) under uncultured bacterium. RNAcentral describes it as "partial 16S ribosomal RNA". It matches the Rfam family "Bacterial small subunit ribosomal RNA", at positions 30 to 526 of the family's 1533-position model. The record is from RNAcentral.
AUUGAACGCUGGCGGCAGGCCUAACACAUGCAAGUCGAACGAGUGGCGGACGGGUGAGUAAUGUCUGGGAAACUGCCUGAUGGAGGGGGAUAACUACUGGAAACGGUAGCUAAUACCGCAUACCAUCAGAUGUGCCCAGAUGGGAUUAGCGAGUUGGUGGGGUAACGGCUCACAAAGGCGACGAUCCCUAGCUGGUCUGAGAGGAUUACAAGCCACCCUGGAACUGAGACACGGUCCAGACGCCUACGGGAGGCAGCAGUGGGGAAUAUUGCAACAUGGUCGCAAGCCUGAUGCAGCCACGCCGCGUGUAUGAAGAAGGCCGUAGGGUUGUAAAGUACUUUCAGCGGGGAGGCGUUACCCGCAGAAGAAGCACCGGCUAACUCCGUGCCAGCAGCCGCGGUAAUUC